GACGAACGCUGGCGGCGUGCCUAAUACAUGCAAGUAGAACGCUGAAGGAGGAGCUUGCUUCUCUGGAUGAGUUGCGAACGGGUGAGUAACGCGUAGGUAACCUGCCUGGUAGCGGGGGAUAACUAUUGGAAACGAUAGCUAAUACCGCAUAAGAGUAGAUGUUGCAUGACAUUUGCUUAAAAGGUGCAAUUGCAUCACUACCAGAUGGACCUGCGUUGUAUUAGCUAGUUGGUGAGGUAACGGCUCACCAAGGCGACGAUACAUAGCCGACCUGAGAGGGUGAUCGGCCACACUGGGACUGAGACACGGCCCAGACUCCUACGGGAGGCAGCAGUAGGGAAUCUUCGGCAAUGGACGGAAGUCUGACCGAGCAACGCCGCGUGAGUGAAGAGGGUUUUCGGAUCGUAAAGCUCUGUUGUAAGAGAAGAACGAGUGUGAGAGUGGAAAGUUCACACUGUGACGGUAUCUUACCAGAAAGGGACGGCUAACUACGUG
RNAcentral lists this ribosomal RNA (495 nucleotides) under uncultured bacterium. Its description in RNAcentral is "partial 16S ribosomal RNA". It matches the Rfam family "Bacterial small subunit ribosomal RNA", at positions 28 to 507 of the family's 1533-position model. The record is from RNAcentral.